This 262-nucleotide ribosomal RNA is filed under the name uncultured bacterium. RNAcentral describes it as "partial 16S ribosomal RNA". It matches the Rfam family "Bacterial small subunit ribosomal RNA", at positions 515 to 776 of the family's 1533-position model. The record is from RNAcentral.
CCGCGGUAAUACGGAGGAUCCAAGCGUUAUCCGGAAUCAUUGGGUUUAAAGGGUCCGUAGGUGGACAAAUAAGUCAGAGGUGAAAUCCUGCAGCUCAACUGUAGAACUGCCUUUGAUACUGUUUGUCUUGAGUUAUUAUGAAGUGGUUAGAAUGUGUAGUGUAGCGGUGAAAUGCAUAGAUAUUACACGGAAUACCGAUUGCGAAGGCAGAUCACUAAUAAUCAACUGACACUGAUGGACGAAAGCGUGGGUAGCGAACAGG